UAAGACGAACCGUGCGAACGUUAUUCGGAAUCACUGGGCUUAAAGCGCGUGUAGGCGGGCCGGCACGUCGGUACCUGAAAGCCCCCGGCUCAACCGGGGAACCGGGGCCGAUACGACCGGCCUGGAGGGACGUAGGGGGACCUGGAACUUCCGGUGGAGCGGUGAAAUGCGUUGAGAUCGGAAGGAACGCCCGUGGCGAAAGCGAGGUCCUGGACGUCCGCUGACGCUGAGACGCGAAAGCCAGGGUAGCGAACGGGAUUAGAUACCCCGGUAGUCCUGGCCGUAAACGAUGGGCACUGGGUAGGGGGCUCGCCGAUGGGCUCCCUGCCGCAGCGAAAGCGUGAAGUGCCCCGCCUGGGGAGUAUGGUCGCAAGGCUG
This 378-nucleotide ribosomal RNA is filed under the name uncultured bacterium. RNAcentral describes it as "bacterial SSU rRNA". It matches the Rfam family "Bacterial small subunit ribosomal RNA", at positions 521 to 896 of the family's 1533-position model. The record is from RNAcentral.